RNAcentral lists this ribosomal RNA (437 nucleotides) under uncultured soil bacterium. RNAcentral's name for it is "bacterial SSU rRNA". It matches the Rfam family "Bacterial small subunit ribosomal RNA", at positions 26 to 434 of the family's 1533-position model. The record is from RNAcentral.
AGAACGAACGCUGGCGGCGUGGAUAAGACAUGCAAGUCGAACGGGAUUACUUCUGUAGCAAUACAGAAGUAGUUUAGUGGCGAACGGGUGCGUAACACGUGGGCAAUCUGCCGAAAAGUGGGGGAUAGCUCGCCGAAAGGCGAAUUAAUACCGCAUGUGGUGAGGGGGGGACAUCUUCCUGAAUCCAAAGCCGGGGCAACCUGGCGCUUUUUGAGGAGCCCGCGGCCUAUCAGCUAGUUGGUGAGGUAACGGCUCACCAAGGCUUUGACGGGUAGCUGGUCUGAGACGGGACGACCCGAGUCCACACGUGGAACUGAGACACGGGUCCAAGACCACCGUACGGGUGGCAGCAGUCGAGUAAUUUUCACAAGUCGGGGAACCCUGAAGGAGCGACGUCCGCGUGGAGGAUCGGUAAGGCUUUUGGGGUAUAAACGUCC